Molecule: ribosomal RNA, 3028 nt
Filed under: Salmonella enterica subsp. enterica
Lineage: Bacteria; Pseudomonadati; Pseudomonadota; Gammaproteobacteria; Enterobacterales; Enterobacteriaceae
Description: bacterial LSU rRNA
Rfam family: Bacterial large subunit ribosomal RNA
Source: RNAcentral
GGGUUGUGAGGUUAAGCGACUAAGCGUACACGGUGGAUGCCCUGGCAGUCAGAGGCGAUGAAGGACGUGCUAAUCUGCGAUAAGCGCCGGUAAGGUGAUAUGAACCGUUAUAACCGGCGAUUUCCGAAUGGGGAAACCCAGUGUGACUCGUCACACUAUCAUUAACUGAAUCCAUAGGUUAAUGAGGCGAACCGGGGGAACUGAAACAUCUAAGUACCCCGAGGAAAAGAAAUCAACCGAGAUUCCCCCAGUAGCGGCGAGCGAACGGGGAGGAGCCCAGAGCCUGAAUCAGCAUGUGUGUUAGUGGAAGCGUCUGGAAAGGCGCGCGAUACAGGGUGACAGCCCCGUACACAAAAGCGCAUGUGCUGUGAGCUCGAUGAGUAGGGCGGGACACGUGGUAUCCUGUCUGAAUAUGGGGGGACCAUCCUCCAAGGCUAAAUACUCCUGACUGACCGAUAGUGAACCAGUACCGUGAGGGAAAGGCGAAAAGAACCCCGGCGAGGGGAGUGAAAAAGAACCUGAAACCGUGUACGUACAAGCAGUGGGAGCCCCACCACUAAGCCAGUGGUGAACUCCACAUACGCAUCCUUUGCUGAGGAUACGGUUAACGGAGCGAAAGCGACGUUCAACCGCAAAAGAAGCAGAGGGGGCUUAGUGGUGGGGUGACUGCGUACCUUUUGUAUAAUGGGUCAGCGACUUAUAUUCUGUAGCAAGGUUAACCGUAUAGGGGAGCCGGAGGGAAACCGAGUCUUAACCGGGCGUUAAGUUGCAGGGUAUAGACCCGAAACCCGGUGAUCUAGCCAUGGGCAGGUUGAAGGUUGGGUAACACUAACUGGAGGACCGAACCGACUAAUGUUGAAAAAUUAGCGGAUGACCUGUGGCUGGGGGUGAAAGGCCAAUCAAACCGGGAGAUAGCUGGUUCUCCCCGAAAGCUAUUUAGGUAGCGCCUCGUGAAUUCAUCUCCGGGGGUAGAGCACUGUUUCGGCUAGGGGGCCAUCCCGGCUUACCAACCCGAUGCAAACUGCGAAUACCGGAGAAUGUUAUCACGGGAGACACACGGCGGGUGCUAACGUCCGUCGUGAAGAGGGAAACAACCCAGACCGCCAGCUAAGGUCCCAAAGUCAUGGUUAAGUGGGAAACGAUGUGGGAAGGCCCAGACAGCCAGGAUGUUGGCUUAGAAGCAGCCAUCAUUUAAAGAAAGCGUAAUAGCUCACUGGUCGAGUCGGCCUGCGCGGAAGAUGUAACGGGGCUAAACCAUGCACCGAAGCUGCGGCAGCGACACUCAGGUGUUGUUGGGUAGGGGAGCGUUCUGUAAGCCUGUGAAGGUGGCCUGUGAGGGUUGCUGGAGGUAUCAGAAGUGCGAAUGCUGACAUAAGUAACGAUAAAGCGGGUGAAAAGCCCGCUCGCCGGAAGACCAAGGGUUCCUGUCCAACGUUAAUCGGGGCAGGGUGAGUCGACCCCUAAGGCGAGGCCGAAAGGCGUAGUCGAUGGGAAACGGGUUAAUAUUCCCGUACUUGGUGUUACUGCGAAGGGGGGACGGAGAAGGCUAUGUUGGCCGGGCGACGGUUGUCCCGGUUUAAGCGUGUAGGUGUGUGUUCCAGGUAAAUCCGGUUCACUUUAACACUGAGGCGUGACGACGAGGCACUACGGUGCUGAAGCAACAAAUGCCCUGCUUCCAGGAAAAGCCUCUAAGCAUCAGGUAACAUCAAAUCGUACCCCAAACCGACACAGGUGGUCAGGUAGAGAAUACCAAGGCGCUUGAGAGAACUCGGGUGAAGGAACUAGGCAAAAUGGUGCCGUAACUUCGGGAGAAGGCACGCUGACACGUAGGUGAAGUGAUUUACUCACGGAGCUGAAGUCAGUCGAAGAUACCAGCUGGCUGCAACUGUUUAUUAAAAACACAGCACUGUGCAAACACGAAAGUGGACGUAUACGGUGUGACGCCUGCCCGGUGCCGGAAGGUUAAUUGAUGGGGUCAGCGCAAGCGAAGCUCCUGAUCGAAGCCCCGGUAAACGGCGGCCGUAACUAUAACGGUCCUAAGGUAGCGAAAUUCCUUGUCGGGUAAGUUCCGACCUGCACGAAUGGCGUAAUGAUGGCCAGGCUGUCUCCACCCGAGACUCAGUGAAAUUGAACUCGCUGUGAAGAUGCAGUGUACCCGCGGCAAGACGGAAAGACCCCGUGAACCUUUACUAUAGCUUGACACUGAACAUUGAGCCUUGAUGUGUAGGAUAGGUGGGAGGCUUUGAAGUGUGGACGCCAGUCUGCAUGGAGCCGACCUUGAAAUACCACCCUUUAAUGUUUGAUGUUCUAACGUGGACCCGUUACCCGGGUUGCGGACAGUGUCUGGUGGGUAGUUUGACUGGGGCGGUCUCCUCCUAAAGAGUAACGGAGGAGCACGAAGGUUGGCUAAUCCUGGUCGGACAUCAGGAGGUUAGUGCAAUGGCAUAAGCCAGCUUGACUGCGAGCGUGACGGCGCGAGCAGGUGCGAAAGCAGGUCAUAGUGAUCCGGUGGUUCUGAAUGGAAGGGCCAUCGCUCAACGGAUAAAAGGUACUCCGGGGAUAACAGGCUGAUACCGCCCAAGAGUUCAUAUCGACGGCGGUGUUUGGCACCUCGAUGUCGGCUCAUCACAUCCUGGGGCUGAAGUAGGUCCCAAGGGUAUGGCUGUUCGCCAUUUAAAGUGGUACGCGAGCUGGGUUUAGAACGUCGUGAGACAGUUCGGUCCCUAUCUGCCGUGGGCGCUGGAGAACUGAGGGGGGCUGCUCCUAGUACGAGAGGACCGGAGUGGACGCAUCACUGGUGUUCGGGUUGUCAUGCCAAUGGCACUGCCCGGUAGCUAAAUGCGGAAGAGAUAAGUGCUGAAAGCAUCUAAGCACGAAACUUGCCCCGAGAUGAGUUCUCCCUGAGACUUUAGGUCUCCUGAAGGAACGUUGAAGACGACGACGUUGAUAGGCCGGGUGUGUAAGCGCAGCGAUGCGUUGAGCUAACCGGUACUAAUGAACCGUGAGGCUUAACCUUACAACGCCGAAG